This 465-nucleotide ribosomal RNA is filed under the name uncultured bacterium. Its description in RNAcentral is "partial 16S ribosomal RNA". It matches the Rfam family "Bacterial small subunit ribosomal RNA", at positions 338 to 795 of the family's 1533-position model. The record is from RNAcentral.
CCUACGGGUGACAGCAGUGGGGAAUAUUGCGCAAUGGGCGAAAGCCUGACGCAGCGACGCCGCGUGAGGGAUGAAGGUCUUCGGAUCGUAAACCUCUUUCAGCAGGGAAGAACGGUCACUGUGCUAAUCAGCAGUGAAUUGACGGUACCUGCAAAGGAAGCACCGGGUAACUCCGUGCCAGCAGCCGCGGUAAUACGGAGGGUGCGAGCGGUAAUCGGAAUUACUGGGCGUAAAGCGCUCGUAGGCGGUAUGUCAAGUCAAGGGUGAAAUCCCCGCGCUCAACGUGGGAACUGCCUUUGAAACUGGCAGACUGGAGUGUGUGAGAGGAUAGUGGAAUUCCAGGUGUAGGAGUGAAAUCCGUAGAUAUCUGGAGGAACAUCAGUGGCGAAGGCGACUAUCUGGCACAUAACUGACGCUGAGGAGCGAAAGCGUGGGUAGCAAACAGGAUUAGAUACCCGGGUAGUC